RNAcentral lists this ribosomal RNA (253 nucleotides) under uncultured bacterium. RNAcentral describes it as "partial 16S ribosomal RNA". It matches the Rfam family "Bacterial small subunit ribosomal RNA", at positions 524 to 776 of the family's 1533-position model. The record is from RNAcentral.
UACGGAGGGUGCAAGCGUUAAUCGGAAUUACUGGGCGUAAAGCGUGCGCAGGCGGUUUGUUAAGUCUGCUGUAAAAUCCCCGAGCUCAACUUGGGAAUUGCAAUGGAUACUGGCAGGCUGGAGUAUGGUAGAGGAAGGUGGAAUUCCCGGUGUAGCAGUGAAAUGCGUAGAGAUCGGGAGGAACACCAGUGGCGAAGGCGGCCUUCUGGACCAAUACUGACGCUCAUGCACGAAAGCGUGGGGAGCAAACAGG